UGGGGAAUAUUGCACAAUGGGCGAAAGCCUGAUGCAGCGACGCCGCGUGCGGGAUGACGGCCUUCGGGUUGUAAACCGCUUUCGGCAGGGAAGAAGCCGUAAGGUGACGGUACCUGCAGAAGAAGCGCCGGCUAACUACGUGCCAGCAGCCGCGGUAAUACGUAGGGCGCAAGCGUUGUCCGGAAUUAUUGGGCGUAAAGAGCUCGUAGGCGGUUCGUCGCGCCUGCUGUGAAAUCCUCAGGCUCAACCUGGGGCGUGCAGUGGGUACGGGCGUACUGGAGUGCGGUAGGGGUGACUGGAAUUCCUGGUGUAGCGGUGGAAUGCGCAGAUAUCAGGAGGAACACCGAUGGCGAAGGCAGGUCACUGGGCCGCAACUGACGCUGAGGAGCGAAAGCAUGGGGAGCGAACA
This 409-nucleotide ribosomal RNA is filed under the name uncultured bacterium. RNAcentral's name for it is "bacterial SSU rRNA". It matches the Rfam family "Bacterial small subunit ribosomal RNA", at positions 355 to 774 of the family's 1533-position model. The record is from RNAcentral.